Molecule: long non-coding RNA, 3798 nt
Filed under: Salmo salar (Atlantic salmon)
Lineage: Eukaryota; Metazoa; Chordata; Actinopteri; Salmoniformes; Salmonidae
Description: lncRNA (ENSSSAG00000114062.1)
Source: RNAcentral
GGCUCCUCAAUAACUCUAAAGUUUUAUUGAUGUUCAAUAUUCACAUAUAAGUUAUUCAAAAGCACAGUGCUCUGUACAUUUGUUUUGACAAUUUGACAAUCUGUACAUUAGAUUUCAUUUCUCCCUUCAUUAUGACUAGGAUUUGCAUUAGGUUGGCAUGAGACUGCCCUCCUGUGGUCACAUGUGCAACCUUCAGCAUGCCCACCUUCCUGUAUUUUUCAGCAAACUGCUUGUCAAAAUGAAAGCAAGAUCAAAUCCAUCUAAAAUUAAACCAGUAUCACAAGCAUUGAAAUCAUCAAUUCAAAGAGCUAAACUGCCGGUACUUACAGCAAAUGAAUAUGUACAUAAAGUAUUUGACUCUGUAUUUAUUAUAUAAUUCUAUCCAGAGAAAGAGUUAGGAACACAACCCAGCUGUAUGAGCAGAUGUUCAGCCUGUUAACGUGAACAUCUUCUGUUUCCACCAGUCAGUCAGUCAAGUCCUGUAUGAACAGCUGCUCUCUGACUCCUUGCAGCUCUGCAGUGUAGCAUGCUACAGUAUCCUCAUCUUCAUCCUAACUCCUCUCACCUGGGAAUUCACAAAGAAAAUACUCGCAAAAUAUGAAAUAAAGCUGUGAAGAACGCAUAGGUGUAUUGUCCAUAAAGUGUGGUACUCUGAGUCUACAGCCUGCAUGCCUUACACCGGGAGAUAUCUUACAGCCAGGGGGUGGCUUUGUGUGUGUAAACAUGUAUUGUGCGGCUAUUAUCCCAUGUGUGACUCACAUCUUUGUAUUCUUUCUCAGUGAUGGUGCCAUUGAUUGUGCAGGCCUCUCUUCCCUCUGUAUAGAGGAGGAUCGAUGUGAAAGCACAUUGUCAAAGGGUUAAUUUCAAGGUAAGGACAUUCAGGCUUAAAAACAAAUCAGCAAAGCCGCAAAAAAAACAGUGAGAGAAACAAAUUGCCUUCUUUCACCUGUCCGGUGUGUGUGUCCCUUGGUCUGGGGGCUGGUUGGGUGUGGUCAGGAGGCGGGGGGUUGAGCCCUAGGCCAGGCUCACUGAGUCUUUGCCGGAUGAGUCGUAGUUCUUCAGUCCAGGGCGGCUGGCUGGGGUCUGAGUUAAAAGCUGAUGGGUCAGUGGUGGAGGAUGUACCAGGGUCUUCAGGUGAAGGGCAGAGGCCAGGGAUGGAGGUGGGUGGCACACCAAGCAGAUAGCCCAUGGCACUCACAAUGGCAUGGAUGAGCUCCGGACUGCUGGGGCCAGGUCUGGAGCGGGGGGACAGGGGAGGGGACACUGACUCCUGAGGGACCUUCUGUGUUGUAGGGGGGGAUCUGAUGUGCUGAGAGUCUGUCUUCUCUCCUGGUACUUUAGCUACAGUAUGGAGAGAACAGAAAGCAGAAAGAUAAGUAGCUAUUCAAAAUGAACACAUACACACUCACUUCUACCCAUGUCUCCACCCAUCACACACCAGAUUCUGUAGAAUGACUACUAUUACAUAGCAACAAAAGUAUACUCUUUCACAUACUGAAUCCAUAUUAACUUACAUUUAGUCUGAGCUGAGGGUGAGUGUGUGCCUUUGAUAUUUUUGGAGUAUGACUGCGGGCCAUUUCUCACAGGUGGAGGAUUCUGGCAGGGUGAGGGUACAUUUGGCCAACUCUUGUGAGAGGUAGAGGGUUUUUGAGUUGGGGCCCAUGGUAUUUUGACUUUAGUUCUAAAGUCCUCCUGUCCUGUAGUAGUCUUGUCUUUCUUUCUAAAGCAUUCUUUAGGAUGAUCCUCCCUGCUUGGCUGUGGAAUUGGGCCCCGUGCUGGGUGAGGGUGUCUCGGUGAGGGUGGACACCUUUCCCUCUCCCAUCUCUCCCUCUCUCGCUCCCAUCUCUUCCUGUCCAUCUCUCUCUCCCUGUCCCUCUCUCUCUCUCUGUCCUUCUUUCCCUCCCAUGGUAGUUUGGCAGAAGAUGAGGCUUUACUCAGAGAACUCCUGGUCUGAGAUGGACAGUCAUGGGAGGUUGCCAGGCCCCUAGAAGUGGGGGUAGUUGUUAGAUUCCCCUCACUUCCCCGGAAAGGAGUACCAGCACCCCUAUAGUUCGGUGAAAUCCCUGUUGGUUUGCUCAUGGGGGAGUAGCUCUUUGGCCUGGGUGUGUCUGGUUUCUGGAAACCUUGACUAAUCUUUAGCUCUAAACUCCUGCCCAGGAUUGAGGUUGAGGCUGCAGGUCUCCCUUCUGGGUUGUUGAUGGAGGUGUUGGAAGUGGACUGCAUAGAUGGUCUCUGAUCCUGGAUCGGAUCUCGGAUCCUCGGAUCCUGGGUGAAUCUGUGAAGAACACUAGUCUGAGGCUUCUUGGGGGAGCGGGUCUUGGGAGAGGGGGUCUUGGAUGAAGGGGUCUUGGGGGAUUGGGUCUUGGAUGAAGGGGUCUUAAACAGCCUAUGUGUGUCAGUCGGCACCCCAUUCAAUUCGCUGGAGGGUUUAGCCACCACAGGCCUCUGCUGAUAAAGGCCUGUAAAUACCUGCUUCAAUCUUCUAAGGCUAGGAAGGGGAGGUCUCUCUUUCCUCCCACUCUCCUCCUUUGGUUUUGGCACACAAGCAGUGUUUGCAGAACCUAUAGUUUUAAGACUAGGGUCACAAGGAGGAGAAGUCUUGUUGGUUGGCCGGCUCCCUCCAGCACUUUUUUUUGUAGUUUUUGUGGAUAGAACAUGUUGUGACACUGCAGAGUCUGCCUUACUACUAACAACACUCUGAGGUUUUGAUGGUCUCUUGAAAUUACACUCAGUUUUGUAUGUUUGCUUCUCUGGCAAAGAAGGUGCAGGUGUUAAUUUAGGUGAAUCAGAGGUCUUGGUUUUAGGAUUUUUCUUAGGACUUGUCUUAUCUUGAGACUUGUGUUUCUGAUGUGCUGUGGUUGAUUGAGGAGAUGACUUCUCAGGGCUUUUAAGUGGACUGCUUUUGAGCUGUGGUACAUCAUAAGGGUAGGAAAAUAUGGAGGUGAGUGUUAGCUUACUGCCUGGGAUGGGGGUCCCACGGUCUAGCUCAGUUGAAGAAACAUCAGGUGAGGCUGAUGAUUUCAUUGGUUUUUCUAGUCGUGGGUCAGCUUGUGGAAUCUUAGAUUCUUUCAGAGUGGGACUGGCAUGUGAUGAUAUGGAAGUCUUCGCUCUGGCAGGAGAACAUUUCUCAGUCGUUUCCUUUGGUGUUGAAGUCUUCUUCAUUUCACUGCUCCUUCUCAUCUCAGAAUCAUCUUUCUUCGCUGUAUCUCUUUUAAUAUUGAACAUGUCUGGGUAUGGAGUGUUGUCCGCUUGGCAUCUAGCUUUAGGGCUGGUUACUGAGUCUUCAGGGUUGGAACUGGUUACUGUCCCUUUAGCUAUUGGUGGACAGCUCUCCAGCCCACAACAUGUAGUCCUACUUCCUGAGAUGUUACUCCUGGUGUGGAACGAUGCCUCCCUGUGAAAAGUUCCAUGUUGUGGGGUGCAAGGGGCACUGGAGGUGAAUAACGUGGUGCGUACUGGGGUGCUUGGGGCACUGGAAGAUGUCACCUGACUUUGUACUGGGGUGCUUGGGGCACUGGAAGAUGUCACCUGACUUCGUAAUGGGGUGCCAGGGGCACUGGAAGAUGUCAUCUGACUUCGUAAUGGGGUGCCAGGGGCACUGGAAGAUGUCACCUGACUUUGUACUGGGGUGCCAGGGGCACUGGAAGAUGUCACCUGACUUUGUACUGGGGUGCCAGGGGCACUGGAAGAUGUCACCUGACUUUGUACUGGGGUGCCAGGGGCACUGGAAGAUGUCACCUGACUUUGUAAUGGGGUGCCAGGGGCACUGGAAGAUGUCACCUGACUUCGUAAUGGGGU